ACGUUUUAUUACUUAUCAACGAAAAUUAAUAUCAAGCAUUUUUUAAUGUUAGGUUUUGUUAAUGCAAAUUAAACAUUAAUUUAUGUAUUUGUAUCCAUUUAUUAAUCAAUUGACCUUAUCAAUUAAUGAUUUUCAGAUAAACAAGCCCAAACAACAUUAUCAAGUGUUUAAAGUUUGGUCACUUUGUGGGUGCCACCAACACCACGUUAAUAGUUAAUGUAAUCUUUCAUUCAUUUUAAUAAUCUAAAUUCCGAGACUCCUACCGCUAUCAUUCAGAGAUGGCACUAGUUUGAACUAAAAAUCAUAAAAUGGAAUUGUAUUGAUUAUUUUUAUAUUUAUCAGCAAACGUGGGCAUUCGGCACGAGAAUUGUGUUUGUUUUGUACACAAUUCCCGAGUGCCGUCGUUGAAAUCCCUUCACACCGGAUACAGCUUCUUCUAGUUUAGUUUAGAUCGCAGGUAUCGUGCCUAUUGCGAUUUGCGCACAAGGCCAUCGACGCGCUUGUUUUGCACAUCUCUUACUUUCUUAUCGCAAACUGUCGCGUAGUUGCUUGCUAGGCUACGGCAGGCGCUAUCGAUGGGGUUUGCAGGCAGUUUCGUGCCGGUCGUCGGGUGAUCGAGACGUGUUUUGACCGUCUCGUUUGUUUGUUCGGACUUCUGCUUUCUAAAUUUGCAUUAUAUUCGAUUAAUUAUCAAUCGCCUAUUUCAUUGUAAAUACAUUCUUUAGUAAUGCUAUUUAUUAUUUUUAUGUACAUAAUUGUUCAAAAGUGGUAACUAUUUGAUUGCGUUUCGUGUGCACACUUAUGCAAGUUACAAGGUUUGGUGUCGGUCGCAAAUGAAACGGAUAUAGGAUGGCCCCAUGUAGAUUUAUUCAUCAUUACCCUUGUCGAAUUCCUAGAUUACCCGAUGCAGGGGUAAGUUUGUAAAUAUUAUUACAUCAUUAUUACAUUUUGCUUUUUAAUCGCGUGUAGUGAAAGUAUCGUUAUAGUUCAAAAUUGUCGCGUGCCGUCGGAUACAUUUUUGACCUCGCUGCAGAAAGUUGGUUUUACUAUCUUUAUUCAUCUCACAUUUUUCUGUUGUUUUGCAAUCUUUAUUCUGCAAUCGCGUUGAUAUGUCUAGUAGUUUGACAAUUACUGUCCGUAAAAUGUAUGUAAUACGCGAUUUCAAUAUUUUCUUUCGCGUGUGCGUGCCGUCGGCCGGCACUUUGUCGGGAGAUUGCGUCGCAAAUAUAAUCUUUUAGUGGCA
Dalotia coriaria is the source of this 1243-nucleotide long non-coding RNA. RefSeq lists it as uncharacterized. The record is from RefSeq and is a predicted model, not a curated record. The transcript is spliced from 2 exons. NCBI's taxonomy places the organism in Eukaryota, Metazoa, Arthropoda, Insecta, Coleoptera, Staphylinidae.